RNAcentral lists this ribosomal RNA (468 nucleotides) under uncultured bacterium. RNAcentral describes it as "partial 16S ribosomal RNA". It matches the Rfam family "Bacterial small subunit ribosomal RNA", at positions 28 to 507 of the family's 1533-position model. The record is from RNAcentral.
GACGAACGCUGGCGGCGUGCUUAACACAUGCAAGUCGAACGGAAAGGCCCUGCUUUUGUGGGGUGCUCGAGUGGCGAACGGGUGAGUAACACGCGAGUAACCUGCCCUUAACUUUGGGAUAACUCCAGGAAACUGGGGCUAAUACCGGAUAGGAGCUCCUGCUGCAUGGGGGGGGUUGGAAAGUUUCGGCGGUUGGGGAUGGACUCGCGGCUUAUCAGCUUGUUGGUGGGGUAGUGGCUUACCAAGGCUUUGACGGGUAGCCGGCCUGAGAGGGUGACCGGCCUCAUUGGGCCUGAGGUACGGCGCAGACGCCUACGGGAGGCAGCAGUGGGGAAUAUUGCACAAUGGGCGGAAGCCUGAUGCAGCAGCGCUGCGUGCGGGAUGACGGCCUUCGAGUUGUGAACCGCUUUCGCCGGUGACGAAGCGUGCGUGACGGUAAUGGGUCAAGAAGCAACGGCUAACUACGUG